RNAcentral lists this small RNA (149 nucleotides) under Chrysemys picta bellii (western painted turtle). RNAcentral describes it as "TUC338 (ENSCPBG00000014714.1)". The record is from RNAcentral. Lineage: Eukaryota; Metazoa; Chordata; Testudines; Emydidae.
UUAUCAUGGAAAUCAAAAUCCUUCUGAACAGGUACAGCGUGGGCAGCAGGAGAGCAAGUUUCCCCUCCCCUCCCACACCCAUGUGCCUUGACCCUGACCUCUACUGGUGUGACAGGUUAGUUUAGUCACCAUCAUGGUCCACUCACUCU